UGGUGAACCAGAAGCUAUGUGUUGACGCCCAGGGCGGGGGCUGGGCUACACAAACCUUCUGGUACACCUGUGAUUCGCUCUCCUCCUCCGUUCACGAAAUGAACGGGGCAGCACGACGAAUCAGGAUCGUAGGGAGGGAUUUCAGUGGGUAUGACGUUUAUCGAACGCGACACCUUCCCCCAGGGUAGUUCGGCUGUGCCCGCCCCCUCACUGAAUCACAACAGUAAUGGCGGCGUGCGAGGAGUUAUCAUGCGUCGGGAUGGAAGCAGCAAUUUCAGCGGUGUUAUCCAAAAUACCUCAAGUUGAUUCUCUAAAGGAGGAACAGUCCCGAGUCAUGGCUAAAGAAGAAGUGGCUGGCUAUGCUUUCUUCUGAAGUCUAUCAAAAAAACCUGGUGGGAAUUGUUGUGGAUGAAGUUCACGUAAUCUACAGAUGGGGCAACGGUGUAAAGGGGAAUCCAGCAUUGAGAGAGAGAGCUUUUCUCGCCUGGGACAACUCUGCUCAGUUGUGAAAGAAAGGCACACCGGUCAUGGCUUUGACGGCUUCAGCAGAAGUUGUCAACAGAGAGGGUCAUCAAGCUGCUACACAUGCACAAUGCAACCCGGGUGACAGUGAGCCCAAAUAGACAUAACAUCAGGCUUGGCCUGAAACAUGUAUCUAGUAAUACCCUCUACCCUCACAUGCAGUCUUGUAUGCAAUCAAAGGAUCACCUACGGUUGACAAGACAGUGAGAGAAGUGAUUAAGGCAGGCACACAAGGCUGUUUAAGGAGAGCCUUAUUUAGCCACUUCGACAUGCAUGUCACAAAUUUGGAGCCUGGUCAUAGUUGUUGCACCUAUUGCCAUUCCAUUUGUUUGUGUUCAUCUGGUGUUUGUUCUGAGCCUGUGCCAAAAUUUGAGUCUGUGCAAACACAGGUGUGCACUACUACCCCACAAAGAUCUAGAGAUGUGACAGAAGAGGACAAGAAUGUUAUCAGGGCCUGCUUGCAGCAGUACAGGCGUACAUUAGUACCAAACAUGCCACUUGUCACAAGCAAGGCUUUCUGCACCGGGUUUGGAACAAAGCUAAUAGAAGCAGCAGUCAACCAUAGUCCUUACAUCUUUGAUAUCACUUAUAUAACAAACAACUUACCAGUGUGUAGGCUAC
This is a long non-coding RNA of Engraulis encrasicolus (European anchovy), 1143 nucleotides long. RefSeq lists it as uncharacterized. The record is from RefSeq and is a predicted model, not a curated record. Lineage: Eukaryota; Metazoa; Chordata; Actinopteri; Clupeiformes; Engraulidae. The transcript is spliced from 3 exons.